GGGUUGUGAGGUUAAGCGACUAAGCGUACACGGUGGAUGCCCUGGCAGUCAGAGGCGAUGAAGGACGUGCUAAUCUGCGAUAAGCGUCGGUAAGGUGAUAUGAACCGUUAUAACCGGCGAUUUCCGAAUGGGGAAACCCAGUGUGAUUCGUCACACUAUCAUUAACUGAAUCCAUAGGUUAAUGAGGCGAACCGGGGGAACUGAAACAUCUAAGUACCCCGAGGAAAAGAAAUCAACCGAGAUUCCCCCAGUAGCGGCGAGCGAACGGGGAGCAGCCCAGAGCCUGAAUCAGUGUGUGUGUUAGUGGAAGCGUCUGGAAAGGCGUGCGAUACAGGGUGACAGCCCCGUACACAAAAAUGCACAUACUGUGAGCUCGAUGAGUAGGGCGGGACACGUGGUAUCCUGUCUGAAUAUGGGGGGACCAUCCUCCAAGGCUAAAUACUCCUGACUGACCGAUAGUGAACCAGUACCGUGAGGGAAAGGCGAAAAGAACCCCGGCGAGGGGAGUGAAAAAGAACCUGAAACCGUGUACGUACAAGCAGUGGGAGCACGCUUAGGCGUGUGACUGCGUACCUUUUGUAUAAUGGGUCAGCGACUUAUAUUCUGUAGCAAGGUUAACCGAAUAGGGGAGCCGAAGGGAAACCGAGUCUUAACUGGGCGUUAAGUUGCAGGGUAUAGACCCGAAACCCGGUGAUCUAGCCAUGGGCAGGUUGAAGGUUGGGUAACACUAACUGGAGGACCGAACCGACUAAUGUUGAAAAAUUAGCGGAUGACUUGUGGCUGGGGGUGAAAGGCCAAUCAAACCGGGAGAUAGCUGGUUCUCCCCGAAAGCUAUUUAGGUAGCGCCUCGUGAAUUCAUCUCCGGGGGUAGAGCACUGUUUCGGCAAGGGGGUCAUCCCGACUUACCAACCCGAUGCAAACUGCGAAUACCGGAGAAUGUUAUCACGGGAGACACACGGCGGGUGCUAACGUCCGUCGUGAAGAGGGAAACAACCCAGACCGCCAGCUAAGGUCCCAAAGUCAUGGUUAAGUGGGAAACGAUGUGGGAAGGCCCAGACAGCCAGGAUGUUGGCUUAGAAGCAGCCAUCAUUUAAAGAAAGCGUAAUAGCUCACUGGUCGAGUCGGCCUGCGCGGAAGAUGUAACGGGGCUAAACCAUGCACCGAAGCUGCGGCAGCGACGCUUAUGCGUUGUUGGGUAGGGGAGCGUUCUGUAAGCCUGUGAAGGUGUGCUGUGAGGUAUGCUGGAGGUAUCAGAAGUGCGAAUGCUGACAUAAGUAACGAUAAAGCGGGUGAAAAGCCCGCUCGCCGGAAGACCAAGGGUUCCUGUCCAACGUUAAUCGGGGCAGGGUGAGUCGACCCCUAAGGCGAGGCCGAAAGGCGUAGUCGAUGGGAAACAGGUUAAUAUUCCUGUACUUGGUGUUACUGCGAAGGGGGGACGGAGAAGGCUAUGUUGGCCGGGCGACGGUUGUCCCGGUUUAAGCGUGUAGGCUGGUUUUCCAGGCAAAUCCGGAAAAUCAAGGCCGAGGCGUGAUGACGAGGCACUACGGUGCUGAAGCAACAAAUGCCCUGCUUCCAGGAAAAGCCUCUAAGCAUCAGGUAACAUCA
This 1605-nucleotide ribosomal RNA is filed under the name Shigella flexneri. RNAcentral's name for it is "partial 23S ribosomal RNA". It matches the Rfam family "Bacterial large subunit ribosomal RNA", at positions 1 to 1639 of the family's 2925-position model. Lineage: Bacteria; Pseudomonadati; Pseudomonadota; Gammaproteobacteria; Enterobacterales; Enterobacteriaceae. The record is from RNAcentral.